Meleagris gallopavo (turkey) is the source of this 429-nucleotide non-coding RNA. The record is from RefSeq and is a predicted model, not a curated record. NCBI's taxonomy places the organism in Eukaryota, Metazoa, Chordata, Aves, Galliformes, Phasianidae.
GCUUACUACCUGAAGGAUUCUAUCCAUCCCCUGAUUAUAUUACUGGAGUGAUAGCUUGAAUCUGGAGGAAAAAUGCCUGGAGUAAGACUUUCAAUCAACAUAUGUCCACCUGAAGCUGCUUGGACCACAGAGAUCAAAUGAAACCUUUGAAUGGCAUCGUGACACUGCUUAUGUGAUUUUGACCCCCUGCUCUCCAAAUGAUUGAAAACCCGCAUUUCAGAAGUAGUUCUUCCAGUGGUCACUUCAUUGUUUGUAUUUGCUAUGUAAGCAAAGUCUUCCACGUUUAGUGAAGACAUCGAGUUAUCUUCUGGAACAAAACUGCUCAUACCAGCUUGUGAAGAUAAUGAUGAUUCAUGUGGAGCACAGGCUCAGAAGGGUAGAAAAUGAAUAUAAUAAUAAUACCAGGUAAUGUCAUCAGUUCUGAUCUUC